RNAcentral lists this ribosomal RNA (258 nucleotides) under uncultured bacterium. Its description in RNAcentral is "partial 16S ribosomal RNA". It matches the Rfam family "Bacterial small subunit ribosomal RNA", at positions 96 to 354 of the family's 1533-position model. The record is from RNAcentral.
UGGCGGACGGGUGAGUAACGCGUGGGUAACCUGCCUUACACAGGGGGAUAACACCUGGAAACAGGUGCUAAUACCGCGUAAGCGCACAGUAUCGCAUGAUACAGUGUGAAAAACUCCGGUGGUACAGGAUGGACCCGCGUCUGAUUAGCUGGUUGGCGGGGUAACGGCCCACCAAGGCGACGAUCAGUAGCCGGCCUGAGAGGGUGAACGGCCACAUUGGGACUGAGACACGGCCCAAACUCCUACGGGAGGCAGCAG